This is a long non-coding RNA of Cynoglossus semilaevis (tongue sole), 1653 nucleotides long. RefSeq lists it as uncharacterized. NCBI's taxonomy places the organism in Eukaryota, Metazoa, Chordata, Actinopteri, Pleuronectiformes, Cynoglossidae. The transcript has 2 exons. The record is from RefSeq and is a predicted model, not a curated record.
UCUAAAAGUGCAUACGAGUCAUAUGACUGUAAAUAUGACAUAACGCUGAAUACUGAAUACAAACACAUGUGACAGCAGCAGUCUUAAAUGACCUAUUUCAAUCACAGAGCAUAUACAGAAAAUAGAUGUAGCCCUGGGUAUAAUCAGACUGUCCAUUCACUAGUUGUUUUUAGAAGGUAUAUGCUCUCUGUAAACAUUUCCCUGAAGUGUUUCAAUAUUCAAAUUCAACACAGUGUCAUUGAGUCAAUGUCUCACCUUCUAGUAUUAGGAUAAGAGAUAAUAUGGUGAUGCACACAUCUGGCUGUCUGCAGAAGGCAAGACAACUCUUGUAAAUAAAAAAAUGGCUUAUUGCACAGUUAUUAAAAAAUAAUAAGUUAUUAUAAUAUUGUUUUUUGGCUACUUUCUGCUGAAAAAAUAAUAAUUUGAAGCUAUUUUAAACAAAAUCUCAGUCUGUGUAUGUUUCAGUAAAACAAAGUUGCAGGGAGUAUUUUUUUAUUUUUAAAGUAGUAGCUGCAAGGUAAUUUGCAGCUACAAAAUACAUUUGUGAAAAAGAAUAAACAAAUAACAAAUAACACUGUUUACUUUUUUCCCAUUCCUUAAUCAUCAAUUUAAUAUGGUAGAAAAUGUGAAUGUUUGUGAAAUGUGUAAAAUGUGUGGUCAAAAUGGGGUGCUGAUUUUAAUAACUGAGUAGAUGAGUAGAAGACAAACAUAUAGUUAAACAGUAAGUAAAGUGUGUUUCUUAGGUACAGCAUCGGAGUUAAUGGGUGAUGUGUUGCUGUGGUCACAGAGUAUGAUUUAGCAUAAAUAAAACCCUCCCUGGUACACCUUUGACCCACAUCCAAACUGGAUGCAGCUGUUGCAGCAGCUGUUGCAGCAGAAGAUGUCACACAGUAAUAAAUUAACUUUGAAUUCGCAUGCUUUCAACGCACUACCUGCUUCGAGUACAACAAACAGAAUAUUAGCUCUUGUGUGAGACUCAUUUUUGUGUCCAUUCAAAUGUAAGGUCUGACCAGACUCAAAGGACAGAUGACAUAUAAUGUUUAGAGGCCAUGUAAUUAAACAGUAACCACUGAAGCCAUUUCUACUGAGCCACUUCUGUCUAUUUGUUUGUUUCCUGCCUGCACUGUUGCUAACCAGAGAAGUUACACAGUGCUGCGGAAAUCAGUUUGUAAUUAUUUGACCUCAGCAUUAAUGGUUUGUGUUUAAUGUUGACAUGUAUGUGUCUUCCUGCUCUUCUGCUACGUUUUCAUGCAACACACUCGGACCAGCUGGCUUUAUUUUUCAAAGUGCUGUAAUGACAAGUCACAGAAGCUCCCAGCUGGCACGUGACAGAACACAGUAGCAGUUUGACACAGAUUAGUUAGAGGAAGUGUUGGGGCUACACAGAGAAGAGGCAAAAAAAUAAAAAAUAAUAUUUACUGUCACUGGAAAACUGUGCCUUAUACUUAUGCAUAGAAAGUUGGUUGAGAUGACACCUUCAUACUUGGAAUGGAAAUACUAAUAGCCAGCUUUAUCACCAGCCAUUUCGGGACAAGUGCUACUCCAGUCACUUCAGCCCAAGCUGAACCUGAUGACCCAUCAUGAACUCUACAAUUUGAGCAACGUUUGCAAAACACAGACAUAGAACUGGAUUCCUUAAAUGUAAAAAAAAAA